Long non-coding RNA from Triticum aestivum (bread wheat), 1066 nucleotides. RefSeq lists it as uncharacterized. The transcript is spliced from 3 exons. NCBI's taxonomy places the organism in Eukaryota, Viridiplantae, Streptophyta, Magnoliopsida, Poales, Poaceae. The record is from RefSeq and is a predicted model, not a curated record.
UCCAAUCCCUCACCCGUCGCCGCCACCAUCCUCGAAUCCAACACCGAACCAGCCUGCCUACCUCGUUUUCCAGAUCCACCCAACCACAUCCAUCCAUUCCACCGUCGCUCUGGACCAUCAGAUCCGGAUCAAACAGUCUGUAGGCUCCCAGUUCAUCCUCCCACCUACCGCAUCAACAGAGAGCCGCACGUUCCAACACUCGUUCUCCUUGAGCGAGUUCCUGCCUCGUUCCCCUCCGUCCACACCCAUCCUUCGCGCGCGGUAAGCCGCAGAACCACCGGAGCUCCCUCCGCCGAUGAGCACCACCAGCAGAUGGGACCUCAUCGCCUGGAGCACACCGGCGCCAUAGAAGCCACCGCCGGCCUCCGCGUCGAGCUCCACCACCGGAGAUCCCCGUCGCUGCCUCCAUUCCCCCGGUCUGCUCCCGUCCCAGUCCGCCUUCGCUUGCCUCUCCGACGCCAAGUCCCUAUCGCCGCCCCUGUUUUCCCCUACUUCGAGUGGGACGGGACGAUGCGCCCCUGCUCCUCGUGUGGACCGCUCCAGCGACCGCGCCCGUGGACUCCGCCGUUCCCAAGGCCCUACAUCCUCUGCCCGCGAGCACCAUUGCUGUAGCCUCCUCGACCCAGAUGCAUGCCGUCACCUUCCUCCGCCCUCACCAUCGUCCCGCAGGUGGGCAGCACAAGCAGCGCCCGCAUCCUGCCAGUACCGUUGCCCCAGAUAACGAGCGCCCGUUGACCACGCCCCCGCUACGUGCCAGGACACGCAGAGAACACGGCCCAAGCAGCUCCCCCCUCCCGGCCAACCGGGCUUCCUCUCCACCGCCUUGGGCCAAAGCCCAUGGUGAGGCCAUAGUUCCCCCUUUUGUUUUUUUUCUGUUAGCCCAUCCUGCUCCAGUUUCAGCCCGUGUAGUGCUAUUUUCUCUGGACGAAUUUGCCUAUUUAACCAGAGAACGCAGUUUUGCAGAAAACCCCCUAAGUUUCAUGCAUUUAAUAACUCACAAACGGUGCAUCAUAUGAAAACAAACUUUAUAUGAAAAAUGCUUAGAAUCUUGUCUAGUUUAAUAAUA